UGGUGGAGCGAUUUGUCUGGUUAAUUCCGAUAACGAACGAGACUCUAGCCUGCUAAAUAGACGGGCGAUCCCAUUGUGGGUCGACCCGAUCAGCUUCUUAGAGGGACAAGUGGCGUUCCUAGCCACGCGAAAUUGAGCAAUAACA
RNAcentral lists this ribosomal RNA (145 nucleotides) under uncultured eukaryote. RNAcentral describes it as "partial 18S ribosomal RNA". It matches the Rfam family "Eukaryotic small subunit ribosomal RNA", at positions 1299 to 1458 of the family's 1831-position model. The record is from RNAcentral.